GGAUUUUCAGCACUUGGUUUAGUUGUCAACAAAAAGCUAGGAUAGGAUGUUACAUUAUUGUACAUCCUCAGAUUAGGAACAUGGAUAAACCUAAAAAGAACCAAGGCUAGGAUGGUAUUCAACUAAUCAAAUAGAAACCAUCAUGACAUAUCAAUAUGUGGUUUCGAGACAUUCCAAACCACAUAAAUUUUGAAAUAUGUCGUAAGUAAUCUGGAAAAGUACCGAGCAACAAGGGAAUUGGAAUCUUAUCAUCAGAUAUUUCCCAACAUUAUGUAAAUAUUUUCAAAAAACAAAUUAUGAGUGGAGAGAAGGGCAUACAUUACCAUUAAUCACAUCACUCAUAAAAUUUCAUGUACCGAUGAAACUAGGAGAUGGCAGAGGAUUGAAACCUCAUUUUGAAAUGGCAAUCCCUUGAAACUGAUGCUAGGGUUCUACACAAAGAACAAUAGGGGCAUUCACGAUUAAAAACACAGCCUCAGGUUGGAGUUUUCUUGUCCUAUUUUUUACGGUAAGUACAAGUGUAAGGGAGUUCCUUUCUCAUACAGUGGAACCUUUAGUCCAAGUGGAACAAGUUCAGUAAUCAGCAUGUGGUGAGAAACAAGUAAGAUCGAGACUCACACUAGACUAGUAUUCGUGACAUCCCAUGAAGUAUAAAGCAUUAAAUACAAGAAAAUGGGUGGUAAAUACUCACAUUCCUUUGUCGUAAGGAUAAUAAAACCUUUCAGAAGUUGCCUUAAAUAUUUGCUCGUGCCAUAAUCUCAAGGAACAUAGUAGAAACCCCCCAAUUAUAACACACCACCUCUAGUCAAGAUUUCAACAAAAACACUUCGAUAGAAAAGAAACAGAAUGCAUAGAUUUCUCAUUGCACUUCUUACACGUCGUCCUCUGUCAAUAACAAUUAUCAUGGAACCAAGGGACUUGUGACGAUGUUUAAAUGACUGUCCGAAAGCUGUCUAUUCAUCUUUAUCACAGUCUAUUUCCAUAAUAAGCUUCAAAUAUUUGUACAUCCUUAGGGUUCCCAUUUGAGUUCAGGGGGCUACAUCAACAAGAAUAUCAUAUGUGUACAUGAAGGUUUAAUUUAGACACUGCUCAUAGGCUACAAACACCACACUAGGCUACCAAAAAUGCAUGAUAUCCCAUAAAGCACUCCCAGAACUGCCAAUAUCAGUACAACUCUGCCAGUGCUUAAUGUUAGCAUCAGCUCAAACUGCACCAGAAUUUAAGAAGCAGACCCCAGAAAUGUUCCUCCAAAUGGACUAUGGACUAUUUGAUAGAUCAUCAUAAAUCAGUGGUACAUUAAUAGAAAUUCAUCUUAGAAUUUCAGCAAAGGCUUGUACUUUUGUCCUCGUAUAUUUAUGGUAAACCCCAACGUACGGACCUUGAACCGGUUCCCAUCUAGGAUCCUACAGAUAGAAAGCUCAUCCAAAGGACAGAAGGGCAACCGUACGAAUGUUGUCAUAGUAUAUUUAUGGGAAACCAGAUUUUAGACUUUGAAUAGGUUCUCGUCUAGGACCCUAUAGACAAAAAGCUCGUACAAAGGGCAGAAGAGCAACCGAACGACUUUUUUCAUAGCAAAUUUCUUGCAAACCAGCUUACCAACCUUGUAUAUGUUCCCAUCUAGGACACUAUGGACAAAAGGGUCGUCCAAAGAGCAGAUGGACAACUGAAAGAUUGUUGUCAGGUAUAUCUCAGGUAAACCGCCAACUUAUGAUUUCCACUUCAGCAAUCAUCAAAUUUCAAACUAACAAAGGCAAAAAAACGGUGUAGGCAAGGGAUUCCACCUAAGACUGAUGAAAACUUAUUCUUGAAAAUUUUGAAUUUCAUCCUAGCCUUGGUUCUUUUGUUACCAAAACAAUAAGAAUUCAAACACCGAAAUGGCACAAAUGGAUCAAUAAUCAAAUAGAAACCAGCCAUAACAAAUCAAUCUGUGGUUUCGACUUUCAAGACAUCCCGAACAAGAUGAAUUUUGAAAUAUGACGCAAGUACUUUAUAAAAGAACCCAGAACCAAGGGAAUUGGAACCUUCUCCUCAACAUAUUUCCCAACAUCGUGUAAAUAUUUUCAGAAAACAACUUAUGUGUGGAGAGUAACAUUAAUACAUCACACUCGUAGAGUUUCAUGAUCCGACGAAACUAGGAGAUAGCAGAUGAUUGAAAUCUCCUUUUCAAAUGGAAAUUCCUUGAAACCCUAAUUUUACAUAAGUAAAGAUAAGAAUUUUAUCGAAACCGAUGCUAGGGUUUCUACACAACGAACAAAAGAGAGGCAUUUCACGAUAAAAAAUAAACAGCCUCGGGCACCGACUUGAUGAUGUGAAACCCACAUGACAUUCCAAUGUUUCCAAGAAGUUAAAUUCCAAGACAGACGAUGAGAGAUUGUGAAAGAACCCACAAACCAAGGGGUUCAUUGAAAAACCAAACUAUCGAUGUAGAAGAAACGAGAUAGAUUACCAUUAAUUAAUCAUAUAGUUUCAUGAUAAUCUAGGAACGAAAGAGGACAAAAGAUUGAAUCCUUGUUUAUGAACUGCAACUCAUGAAACCCUUGAUUCAUAUAAACAGAACCGAGAAGCGCCAAAUUCUCUGAAUGAAUCAGAAACCCACAUGGCGACAUGCCAUUCCAACGUUUCCAAUAAGGUAAAUUCCAAAACAAACAACCAGAAAUUGUGAAAAAAAAACCCACAAAAAGCAAGGGUAACCUCCGAUGAAAAGCAUUAUUUACCUAUAUAUGAUGAUUACAAUGCCAGUUGAGAAAGCAAACUGUCGGUGGGGAAGAAAGGAGAGGACUUACCAUAUAUUUAUCAUAUAAAAUGAUCACAAACGAUGGAAUAAGGUAGUGCAGAAGAUUGAAUCCUCCUUUACGAACUGAAACUCCUGAACCCUUAUCUUGUUGAUAUGUACAGAGAAAGAAAAUAGAAAAGGACGAGAGAGAUGAGAAACGAACAGAGCAAGGGAAACAGUAGACGCCACCCACGUAAUGAAGUAAUAAAAUAUAAAGAGAUGAGCGUUGCAUGUUACCGUUUUCUUGUCCUUUGUUCUUCCGAGUUCCGUCUUGUUACCAAAGUUACAAUUUUAAUAAUACACCGUGUGUUGUUUUAGCGGGCCAAAGGCCC
Molecule: long non-coding RNA, 3105 nt
Filed under: Linum usitatissimum (flax)
Lineage: Eukaryota; Viridiplantae; Streptophyta; Magnoliopsida; Malpighiales; Linaceae
Description: long non-coding RNA (LUSI_LNC005737)
Source: RNAcentral